ACCAGCGUCUCUAAAACCACAGGCAUAUUCUUUAUCACUGAGCCACCUGGGAAGCCCAAGGUAAGGGGAAGAGGCUGCAAAUCUCUUUCAGCAGUGCAUCCUGGGGAAGGAGGUCAGAAGCCAAAAAAGGGAGGGAACCAACUGCAAGUUCCCCUUUAACAAGAGUGAGAAAUCUGCCGAAGCUUCGGGAAGUGCAGCCACUUCCUAUUUGAUUUUGAUUUACUUUAAAACAAUUUGAAAAUGUUUUCUUCAGUGUCCUCUGUGACAGGAUAACCACCAGUCUUUGCAAGGAUCUGGAUUUAGAGCUCUGCUCUGGGAUUCUGAUGCUGAAGCUGAAACUCCAAUACUUUGGCCACCUGAUGAGAAAGAACUGACUCAUUUGAACAGACCCUGAUGCUGGGAAUAAUUGAAGGCGGGAGGAGAAGGGGACGACAGAGGAUGAGAUAGUUGGAUGGCAUCACCGACUCAAUGGACAUGAGUUUGAAUAAGCUCUGGGAGUUGGUGACGGACAAGGAAGCCUGGUGUACUGCUGUCCAUGGGGUCACAAAGAGUUGAACAUGCUGAACGAUUGAACUGAACUGAACUGGGAUUCUGUAGCUGUGUGACCUUAGGCAAAUCCCUUUCCUUCUCUGACCUUCAGAUUCCUCAGCUGAAUCACUGACUGCUGUGAAGGUGAAUGAGGGAACAGAUUUCCUGUGCCACUCAUGGCCCUGGGAACUGUGUAGUCACCCAGACCCAGAGAAGUCUUCCAGCUUCAGGCAGACAGCAAGGAAGAAAACAUCCCUGGACCAUCAAUGAGCCUUUCUGGCUCCUGGACCCUGGCAUCAGAGCAAACCUGCAUUUUACAAGACUUUCCUCCCUUUGGCCUUAAACCUGCAAAUCUAGGGAGAGAAACAGUGGAUCCACAUGGACUUGGAGGCCAGAGCAAGUAGUAGGAAGUGUUUUCCUGGUGCCGCCUUCCUGAGUGGCGUUGCCUCCUGCAGACUGUGGCACAGCAGAGAUAUUAUUGUCUUUCAUUGAAACGAAUGGAUGCCCUUCUGGGAGUCUGGAUAUUAUCAAGAUGAAAAAGACCUGCUCUCUCCAGACUGGCUGGGCUGGAAGCAUUUAAGAAGAAGAGCUCUCAGCUGGACUCGUCCGCUCCUUCCAACACUUGGAGAGAUGUCACUACCAGGACCAUACUGACUGAUGGAGCUGCCAACUCUCUCACUUCAGGGGAAGGCAUUCCUCUUGGAAAAUGCAGCCAUUGCUGGGAGUUCAUCUUUGACUUGGGCUUCCUAGAGCUCCCAAGUUUAUGACGCUCAUCAGGUAUGGGGUCUUGAAGAGGAAUCUUGGCUCUCUGAUUUGUCUUACAUCAAUGGAUUUUGCUGGGCCUGGGAGAUUCUGCAGCAUCCAGCCUGCUCAGGAUGGUUCAGGAAUGCCAUUUCACAUUUCCACAGAGCAGAAAGCUUCCCUUUAAAACAGAACAUAUUAGAAGUUACCCCACUGGUAAGAAGUAGGAGAAAAUAAAAGGAGGAGUCCAUGAAAGUCACUGAGAACCUAAGGAUGUCUGUGUUCCCUGUAGCAUAUACUUCUUCCCAGGAUCAUUUGGUCUCAAAGUAUUAUUUGCAGAAGAAGAGCUAAGAGGGAAAGAGAAGGCCCCUGCCCACUACCCACAUCCCUGGAUGUGGUUCUGAGAUGAUGCUUCUUAUUUGGUCAUAUUUAUCAUCUCAAAAUUUGGAAAAUCAAAGAUACCCGAAAUGAGACAAAUUCUGCUUCACAUUCAAAUACGUAAUUCUCCUUCACUUGUGGGCCGGCAUCUGUGUUCAGUGGAAAAGUCCAGCCAGCAAAUGUUCAGGCCACAGCCUGGUGGGAGGAGCUAAGUGUUCUCCGAGAUUACGGCCUGUGACAAUAAGAGCUUGAGACCAACAGCUGGUGUAUCAAGUUUGACUCAUGGACACUUGGAGAUCCCGGCACACUGGACGCCCAUUUCCCCUGGGCCUCCUGUGGGUCUGGCAGCCACUGCCCAUACGGGAACCACGUUUGUGCUUCUGUUUACUUCUGUCCGCUUCUGGCAUCUCUGCAUGUGCUCUGAGCCUGGGCCUGUGGGCUGCCUGUUUAUGCUCUUGAACAACUUGAGUUUCCACUCUCAAUGGUAAUGUUUAAAAUUUUAUUUCAUAUACUUUACUUUACUAAAGUAAUAUAACCACAUAAUAA
Molecule: long non-coding RNA, 2193 nt
Organism: Dama dama (fallow deer)
Lineage: Eukaryota; Metazoa; Chordata; Mammalia; Artiodactyla; Cervidae
Exons: 5
Source: RefSeq, a predicted model, not a curated record